UACGAAGGGGGCUAGCGUUGUUCGGAAUCACUGGGCGUAAAGCGCACGUAGGCGGACAUUUAAGUCAGAGGUGAAAUCCCAAGGCUCAACCUUGGAACUGCCUUUGAUACUGGGUGUCUUGAGGUCGGAAGAGGUGAGUGGAACUGCGAGUGUAGAGGUGAAAUUCGUAGAUAUUCGCAAGAACACCAGUGGCGAAGGCGGCUCACUGGUCCGAUACUGACGCUGAGGUGCGAAAGCGUGGGGAGCAAACAGG
Molecule: ribosomal RNA, 253 nt
Filed under: uncultured bacterium
Lineage: Bacteria
Description: partial 16S ribosomal RNA
Rfam family: Bacterial small subunit ribosomal RNA
Source: RNAcentral